RNAcentral lists this long non-coding RNA (208 nucleotides) under Nicotiana benthamiana. RNAcentral's name for it is "long non-coding RNA (NBEN_LNC033942)". The record is from RNAcentral. Lineage: Eukaryota; Viridiplantae; Streptophyta; Magnoliopsida; Solanales; Solanaceae.
UGAAUCCUUUCCUCCUAUCUUCUCACUCAGACACCCUCAAACCCUAAUCAUUGUCUACCUUCUCUGGCCACUUCCCUCGGCAGAAACCAUGGCCUCUCAUCAUCUCCUGACCUCUGCUUCACCCCAUACCAGUUUGACACUACCCCGAGGUUCUCAGGUGAAACUGGAGUGGUUCAACUCCUAUCCAUGGUCUUUCACGCUAUUUUCC